This 107-nucleotide small nucleolar RNA is filed under the name Aspergillus calidoustus. RNAcentral's name for it is "A. fumigatus snoRNA Afu_190". It matches the Rfam family "A. fumigatus snoRNA Afu_190". The record is from Rfam by way of RNAcentral. Lineage: Eukaryota; Fungi; Ascomycota; Eurotiomycetes; Eurotiales; Aspergillaceae.
UUAUGAUGAGAUAACCAGCUGGCACCAGUCAGAGGAAUUUGGAUAUUCGUAUCCAUUUUCAUUGCUGAUCAAGCUUACCGGUCUGGGAACGCUACCCGGAUCCUGAA